AAGUCGUAACAAGGUUUCCGUAGGUGAACCUGCGGAAGGAUCAUUAACGAAUGAACGUAGAGUGGGUUGUAGCUGGCCUUUUCAAACAGAGGCACGUGCACGCCUUCUCUUUCAUCCACACACACCCUUGUGCACUUGUGAGACGGAGGCUUAUUUGUUUCCCCUUUAGUUAGGGGGGGACGGGGGUCUCCGUCUGCCUUGACAUAAAACCCAUCAAUGAAUUGAAUGUAACUCGAUGUAAAUCAUCUAUAUACAAA
RNAcentral lists this unclassified non-coding RNA (257 nucleotides) under plant metagenome. RNAcentral describes it as "partial contains small subunit ribosomal RNA and internal transcribed spacer 1". The stretch from base 1 to 46 matches the Rfam family "Eukaryotic small subunit ribosomal RNA", at positions 1786 to 1831 of the family's 1831-position model. The record is from RNAcentral.